Molecule: long non-coding RNA, 1192 nt
Filed under: Ictidomys tridecemlineatus (thirteen-lined ground squirrel)
Lineage: Eukaryota; Metazoa; Chordata; Mammalia; Rodentia; Sciuridae
Description: lncRNA (ENSSTOG00000030002.1)
Source: RNAcentral
UGCUUUGCUGUUGUUAGGUUUUGCUUGUGGUUUUCUUUCUGGUGCAUCUCAUGGUUCUCUCUCUUCCCCAAAGGUUUCCAACAACUGUGACUCCAUUUUCGUGAAUGGGAAGGAAAUGAAGAGUAAAGUGGACACAAUAGUGAACUUCACCCACCAGCACUUUACCUCCCAGGUGGAAGUCACUGUCUGGGCGCCCCAACUCCCCUUGCAGAUUGAGAUCUCAGACACAGAGCUGAGCAGAUCAAGGGUUGGAGGAUCCUGGUGGCCUCCAACAGAAGGCCCACCCGGGAAAGUGAAGACGAGGAGGAAGAGGAGAAGAAGAGGCGAGGCUGCUCCCUGCAGUACCAGCAUGCCUUGGUGCACGUCUUCACCCAGUUUGUGACUGAGUCAUCUGACUUGGGUCAGCUGACCUAUAUGUUGGGCCCAGACUGGCAGUUUGACAUCACUGACCUUGUGACAGAGUUCAUGAAGGUGGAGGAGCCCAGAGUCGCCCAGUUACAGGAUGGCAGGACCCUGGUUGGUCGGGAGCCGGGAAUCACCACUGUUCAGGUAUAGGGGGUUCAUGUUUUGCCACCUCUCCAACACCAGUACCUGCCGAUGAUGCAGGCAAAUGCUGCCAUGGAGGGGUGUGCACAUGUGUGAGGGUGAUUGUGCAAAUGUGCAAAUACCGAGUCUUCUUGUAACAGAAUCAUGAGAAGCAAUAGAGUAUUCACCAAUUUUAAUAAUCUAAACACAUUUUGUAUUUUAGAGAGGGUUGAGAAAAAUGCCUGAUCUGUUUUUACCAGAGAAAGCUAAAUGAAACACACAAUGUAAGUCACCCUUUUCCCGAUAUGACACUAUUUUUUUUUUAAUCUGUUCUAGGAAGUGGUAGAACCUCUGAAAGCAAAUUUCUCCUCAACCUUGACAUUUAACCAUUUAGCUAUAUUAUACCUUUAACAGUAGGCAAAGAUUUUUUAAAGCAUGUAUUUGGCUAUAAAUCACAAAGAAUCCAUAGUUAAAAGCUCUCUAUUUUCAUCAUAGUAAUAGUAAAAUAAUUUCUAACUGAUUUUGGCAAGAUAAAAAUAAAAAAGUCACAGCUUGUUUUAUUUUUGCAAAUUUAAAAUGUUACUGCUCAUAGUUAAUUAUGUCUUAUUUUAGGUGUUGCCAAAGUUAGUUUUCGACAAAGUUGAAUUAAAUAUGUAACAUUCUAUAU